GAUGAACGCUGGCGGCGUGCCUAGCACAUGCAAGUCGAACGGAGUUGCUUUGAUGAAGUUUUCGGAUGGAUUUAAAACAGCUUAGUUGCGGACGGGUGAGUAACGCGUGGGUAACCUGCCUCACACUGGGGGAUAACAGUUAGAAAUAGCUGCUAAUACCGCAUAAGCGCACGGUUCCGCAUGCAACAGUGUGAAAAACUCCGGUGGUGUGAGAUGGACACGAGGCUGAUUAGCCAGUUGGCGGGGUAACGGCCCACCAAAGCGACGAUUAGUAGCCGGCCUGAGAGGGUGAACGGCAACAUUGGGAAUGAGACACGGCCCAGACUCCUAAGGGAGGCAGCAGUGGGGAAUAUUGCACAAUGGGGGAAACCCUGAUGCAGCAACGCCGCGUGAGUGAUGACGGCCUUAGGGUUGUAAAGCUCUGUCUUCAGGGAAGAUAAUGACGGUACCUGAGGAGGAAGCCACGGCUAACUACGUGCCAGCCGCCGCAGUAG
RNAcentral lists this ribosomal RNA (494 nucleotides) under uncultured bacterium. Its description in RNAcentral is "partial 16S ribosomal RNA". It matches the Rfam family "Bacterial small subunit ribosomal RNA", at positions 28 to 523 of the family's 1533-position model. The record is from RNAcentral.